UCGUAACAAGGUCUCCGUUGGUGAACCAGCGGAGGGAUCAUUACCGAGUUAUACAACUCAUCAACCCUGUGAACAUACCUAAAACGUUGCUUCGGCGGGAACAGACGGCCCUGUAACAACGGGCCGCCCCCGCCAGAGGACCCCUAACUCUGUUUUUAUAAUGUUUUUCUGAGUAAACAAGCAAAUAAAUUAAAACUUUCAACAACGGAUCUCUUGGCUCUGGCAUCGAUGAAGAACGCAGCGAAAUGCGAUAAGUAAUGUGAAUUGCAGAAUUCAGUGAAUCAUCGAAUCUUUGAACGCACAUUGCGCCCGCCAGUAUUCUGGCGGGCAUGCCUGUUCGAGCGUCAUUACAACCCUCAGGCCCCCGGGCCUGGCGUUGGGGAUCGGCAGAAGCCCCCUGUGGGCACACGCCGUCCCUCAAAUACAGUGGCGGUCCCGCCGCAGCUUCCAUUGCGUAGUAGCUAACACCUCGCAACUGGAGAGCGGCGCGGCCAUGCCGUAAAACACCCAACUUCUGAAUGUUGACCUCGAAUCAGGUAGGAAUACCCGCUGAACUUAAGCAUAUCAAUAA
RNAcentral lists this unclassified non-coding RNA (571 nucleotides) under Fusarium solani. RNAcentral describes it as "sequence contains 18S rRNA gene, ITS1, 5.8S rRNA gene, ITS2, 28S rRNA gene". The stretch from base 194 to 347 matches the Rfam family "5.8S ribosomal RNA". Lineage: Eukaryota; Fungi; Ascomycota; Sordariomycetes; Hypocreales; Nectriaceae. The record is from RNAcentral.